GACGAACGCUGGCGGCGUGCCUAAUACAUGCAAGUCGAACGCAGUGGGGACGGGUGAGUAACACGUGGGUAACCUCCCAUCAGAGGGGAUAACACUUGGAAACAGGUGCUAAACCGAUACUGAUGGAUGGACCCGCGGGGCAUUAGCUAGUUGGGGAGGUAACGGCUCACCAAGGCCACGAUGCAUAGCGGACCUGAGGGGGUGACCGGCCACACGGGGACUGAGACACGGCCCAGACGCCUACGGGAGGAAGCAGUGGGGAAUCGGCGGAAAUGGACGAAAGUCUGAACGAGACACGCCGCGUGAGUGAAGAAGGGUUUCGGAUCGUAAAGCUCUGUUGUUAGAGAAGCGGUAUCUAACCAGAAAGCCACGGCUAACUACGUGCCAGCAGCCGCGGUAAUAC
Molecule: ribosomal RNA, 403 nt
Filed under: uncultured bacterium
Lineage: Bacteria
Description: partial 16S ribosomal RNA
Rfam family: Bacterial small subunit ribosomal RNA
Source: RNAcentral